This 516-nucleotide ribosomal RNA is filed under the name uncultured bacterium. RNAcentral describes it as "bacterial SSU rRNA". It matches the Rfam family "Bacterial small subunit ribosomal RNA", at positions 43 to 538 of the family's 1533-position model. The record is from RNAcentral.
CAYGCGCUGCUAAUGACAAGUUCGAACGCGGUUAUUCAGCAAUGGAUAACUGAGUGGCRAACGGGUGAGUAACACGUGGGUGACCUACCUUCGAGUGGGGGAUAACGUCCCGAAAGGGACGCUAAUACCGCAUAACAUCCUGCCUUUGAACAGGUGGAGAUCAAAGCCGGGGAUCGCAAGACCUGGCGCUUGAUGAGGGGCCCGCGYCUGAUUAGCUAGUUGGUGRGGUAAUGGCUCACCAAGGCGACGAUCAGUAUCCGGCCUGAGAGGGCGGACGGACACACUGGGACUGAGACACGGCCCAGACUCCUACGGGAGGCAGCAGUGGGGAAUUGUUCRCAAUGGGCGCAAGCCUGAYGACGCAACGCCGCGUGGAGGAUGAAGGUCUUCGGAUUGUAAACUCCUGUUGCUCGGRACGAAMAGCUUCGACCUAAYACGUCGAAGUCUGACGGUACCGRGUGAGGAAGCCCCGGCUAACUCUGUGCCAGCAGCCGCGGUAAUACAGGAGGGGGCAAG